ACACAGAUAUGCAGUCCAUAGUGCUGCUCCUUAUCAACUUGUAGUUAGUAAGGACAAAGUAUAUCAACGUUACCAGACCACAUCUCUGGAUUAUUCACAGAGUCUGCUAUUUCUGUUUGUACUACCAGACCUGAGAAUAUUUAUGGCUCCCAUUCCUGCUGACUUCUGCUUUGGGUCAAUUGUGUGAGUAUACCAGCACCAAGCUUCUCAGUGUUUACUCACCCUCUGUUGCCUCAUCUGACUGAGCGUCCCUAAUUGUACAGCGAAGGUACAGGCUUGGAAGGCAUGAAAAUGUUGGCAUAUAGAGAAGUGUCAAAUACCUAGGGGUGAUAAGAGUGCUGCGUUUAGAAGACAAAUGAUAGGAGAUAAAUUGGUCCUGGAGGUUGGGGCUUCUUACAGAAUUGGGGGCCUCUGAAUCUAAAACUUGUGCUCUUAACUGUUCUCCAUUAUUUCCCCCAGCUGGCCUAUUAAACAUCAUCUAUAAAAAAAUCUAUAAUCUAGUUUAGAAACUAGCUUACUCAAAGACACAGAAGUUUGCUC
RNAcentral lists this long non-coding RNA (540 nucleotides) under Homo sapiens (human). RNAcentral's name for it is "non-protein coding lnc-FOXG1-3:8". Lineage: Eukaryota; Metazoa; Chordata; Mammalia; Primates; Hominidae. The record is from RNAcentral.